GCCCCAGUGGUGCAAUUGGUUAGCAUGCAGUACUUAUAGGGCAGUGCUGAGAGGAGCUAUGCUGAGGUUGUGAGUUCAAGCCUCACCUGGAGCA
This is a non-coding RNA of Chelonia mydas (Green sea turtle), 94 nucleotides long. The record is from Rfam. NCBI's taxonomy places the organism in Eukaryota, Metazoa, Chordata, Testudines, Cheloniidae.